This 369-nucleotide ribosomal RNA is filed under the name uncultured organism. Its description in RNAcentral is "bacterial SSU rRNA". It matches the Rfam family "Bacterial small subunit ribosomal RNA", at positions 526 to 896 of the family's 1533-position model. The record is from RNAcentral.
CGAACUGUGCGAACGUUAUUCGGAAUCACUGGGCUUACAGGGUGCGUAGGCGGCUGCUCAAGUCAGGUGUGAAAGCCCCCGGCUCAACCGGGGAAUUGCGCUUGAAACUGGGUGGCUCGAGUCAGCUAGAGGUGCACGGAACUUCCAGUGGAGCGGUGAAAUGUGUUGAUAUUGGAAGGAACACCGGAGGCGAAAGCGGUGCACUGGGGCUGGUCUGACGCUGAGGCACGAAAGCCAGGGUAGCGAACGGGAUUAGAUACCCCGGUAGUCCUGGCCGUAAACGAUGAGUGCUGGACGGGAGGGGGUUCGCCCUUUCGGUCGGAGCGAAAGCGUGAAGCACUCCGCCUGGGGAGUAUGGUCGCAAGGCUG